UUGAUUGAUUCUAAUCCAAUGGCUAAAAUUAAUAUUUUAUCUAUUUUUAACCUUUUUUCUUAUUGGUUAAUUUUUUUGACAAGGAUCACACUUUUUAGCCUUUGAUUCUUUUUGAUCUGAAAGGCCUAAAUCAUUCUCCCUCUUUCUUUACUCCCAAUAGAUCUGAGAUCUACUAUUCUUCUAUCCUUUUUUUCUACGUUCUCAUUCUCUUUUUUUUUCUUCUUCUUCUUCUUCUUCUACGAUUUUUAAUUUGUCUCUAUACAUUCACUGAAACAACAAAGUAGAUCUGAUUUUUAUUUGAGUUUGGGUCCAAGAAGUGAAGAAAAAUAUUGGAGAGGAGGAUCGACGCCUAUAUUCAAUAGCCAUGGAAACUCUGUACGCUUCCUCUCAAGCUCCGUGGAGAAGAAGACCAGGAAGACGGCGAGCAAGCUCCGUGGAGAAGAAGACCACGAAGACGGCGAGCGACUAUGAAGGUGGCUGGAUGCAACGACGAGUACGCCUCAUCUCUGAAGCUUGACUCUCAAAUCCCACAGCGAAGAAGAAGAAUCAAGGCGGAUGUAAAGAGCAUAGAAGAGACAACGACGAAGGUG
This 590-nucleotide long non-coding RNA is filed under the name Brassica napus (rape). RNAcentral describes it as "long non-coding RNA (BNAP_LNC019730)". The record is from RNAcentral. Lineage: Eukaryota; Viridiplantae; Streptophyta; Magnoliopsida; Brassicales; Brassicaceae.